Molecule: transfer RNA, 68 nt
Filed under: Coridius chinensis
Lineage: Eukaryota; Metazoa; Arthropoda; Insecta; Hemiptera; Dinidoridae
Description: tRNA-Asp
Rfam family: tRNA
About the family: Transfer RNA (tRNA) molecules are approximately 80 nucleotides in length.
Source: RNAcentral
AAGGAUUUAGUUUAAUAAUAAAACAUUAAUUUGUCAAAUUAAAAAUAAAUUUAUUCAUUUAAUUCUUA